This 492-nucleotide ribosomal RNA is filed under the name uncultured bacterium. Its description in RNAcentral is "partial 16S ribosomal RNA". It matches the Rfam family "Bacterial small subunit ribosomal RNA", at positions 29 to 507 of the family's 1533-position model. The record is from RNAcentral.
AGUGAACGCUGGCGGUAGGCCUAACACAUGCAAGUCGAACGGCAGCACAGUAAGAGCUUGCUCUUACGGGUGGCGAGUGGCGGACGGGUGAGGAAUACAUCGGAAUCUACUUUUUCGUGGGGGAUAACGUAGGGAAACUUACGCUAAUACCGCAUACGACCUACGGGUGAAAGCAGGGGAUCUUCGGACCUUGCGCGAUUGAAUGAGCCGAUGUCGGAUUAGCUAGUUGGCGGGGUAAAGGCCCACCAAGGCGACGAUCCGUAGCUGGUCUGAGAGGAUGAACAGCCAAAAUGGAAAUGAGACACGGUCCAGACUCCUAAGGGAGGCAGCAGUGGGGAAUAUUGGACAAUGGGCGCAAGCCUGAUCCAGCCAUACCGCGUGGGUGAAGAAGGCCUUCGGGUUGUAAAGCCCUUUUGUUGGGAAAGAAAAGCAGCAGGUUAAUACCCCGCUGUUCUGACGGUACCCAAAGAAUAAGCACCGGCUAACUUCGUG